GACGAACGCUGGCGGCGUGCUUAACACAUGCAAGUCGAACGGAAAGGCGCUGCGUUUGUGGGGUGCUCGAGUGCCGAACGGGGGAGUAAAACGUGAGUAAAAUGCACUUGACUGUGGGAUAAAUUCAGGAGACUGGGGCGAAUACCGGAUAGGAUCUCCUGCUGCAUGGUGGGGGUUGGAAAGUUACGGCGGUUGGGGAUGGACUCGCGGCUUAUGAGCUUGUUGGGGGGGUAGUGGCGGACCAAGGCUGUGACGGGUAGCCGGCCUGAGAGGGGGACCGGCGACAAUGGGACUGCGGUACGCACCAGACUCGUACGUGAGGCAGCAGUCGGGAGUAUUGCACAAUGGGCGGAAGCCUGAUGCAGCAACGCCGGGUGCGUGAUGACGGCUUUCGGGUUGUGAACAGAUUUCGACUGUGACGAAGCGUGAGUGACGGUAACGGGUCAAGAAGCACCGGCUAACUACGUG
RNAcentral lists this ribosomal RNA (468 nucleotides) under uncultured bacterium. RNAcentral describes it as "partial 16S ribosomal RNA". It matches the Rfam family "Bacterial small subunit ribosomal RNA", at positions 28 to 507 of the family's 1533-position model. The record is from RNAcentral.